RNAcentral lists this ribosomal RNA (164 nucleotides) under uncultured bacterium. RNAcentral's name for it is "partial 16S rRNA". It matches the Rfam family "Bacterial small subunit ribosomal RNA", at positions 355 to 511 of the family's 1533-position model. The record is from RNAcentral.
UAGGGAAUCUUCCACAAUGGACUCAAGUCUGAUGGAGCAACGCCGCGUGAGUGAAGAAGGUCUUCGGAUCGUAAAGCUCUGUUGUUAAAGAAGAACACGUAUGAGAGUAACUGUUCUUGUAUUGACGGUAUCUAACCAGCAAGUCACGGCUAACUACGUGCCAG